RNAcentral lists this unclassified non-coding RNA (328 nucleotides) under soil metagenome. RNAcentral describes it as "partial contains 5.8S ribosomal RNA, internal transcribed spacer 2, and large subunit ribosomal RNA". The stretch from base 1 to 120 matches the Rfam family "5.8S ribosomal RNA", at positions 35 to 154 of the family's 154-position model. The record is from RNAcentral.
GAUGAAGAACGUAGCGAAAUGCGAUAAGUAAUGUGAAUUGCAGAAUUCAGUGAAUCAUCGAAUCUUUGAACGCACAUUGCGCCCCUUGGUAUUCCGAGGGGCAUGCCUGUUCGAGCGUCAUUAUAACCCUCAAGCUCAGCUUGGUGUUGGGGCCUGCUGCACUGGCAGCCCUUAAAAUCAGUGGCGGCGCCAUCUGGCUCUAAGCGUAGUAAUUCUUCUCGCUAUGGAGUCCUGGUGGAUGCUUGCCAUCAACCCCCAAUUUUUCUAUGGUUGACCUCGGAUCAGGCAGGGAUACCCGCUGAACUUAAGCAUAUCAAUAAGCGGAGGA